UACAAUUGAAUUUCCCAUUAAGUUGUGAUAUUACUUGAAUUUUGAUUGGUACCAAGUGGGGCCAGUAACAACACCCCCCACUCUUGUCUCUUUCUAUUUUUUAUUUGGUCAAGCAAGACGGCUCCAUGUGAACCGCAAAAGCAAAUUCAACAGAAGGAAGAAAAAUGAGAUUUCACACAACAAAACGAGUAAAUGCCCCCCACCUGGAUCACUGAAACCCCCAAUUGAAUUUCAGCAUUACAAAUCCCCAAUUUUCAAACUCACUACUCACCUUUAAUCACAAACUCAGUUCACAGUUCAGACCACCAUUAUUAUUUUCUCAUCUUCCUCCUCCCUUCAAACCCAACCAACCAAAGGCUACUCCUCUGCAACAAAACACAUUUAAAAAAAAAAAUGGCUGAGAGUGCAGUGUUCCAUCUACUAGCCAACUUCACACCCUUCCUCCAACAAGAGGCCAAUUUGUUGACUGGAGUUCGAGAUGAGAUCCAAUACAUCAGAGAUGAAUUUGAGUGCAUGACAGCUUGCCUCAAAGUUGCCGAUGCUAUGGAAAAGAACAACCCCGAACUCAAAGUAUGGGUCAAGCAAGUCCGAGAAGCUGCGUACGACAUUGGAGAUGUUCUUGAGUUGUUCGUGCCAUCUUGAAUAGAUGCGAGGGAUUGCCACUUGCAAUUGUGGCAAUUAGUGGUCUUUUUUUAUCAACAAAGGAUAAGAGCAUUGUGGAUGAGUGGAAUAAGAUCUACCCCAGCUUUGGUGUAGAACUAGAAGGAAAUGACAGACUCCUAAGCAUGAAGAAAAUAUUGUCCCUCAGUUACCUUGAUUUACCCUAUUAUCUGAAGUUUUGCUUUCUCUAUCUAAGUGUUUGUCCGGAGGACUGUUUCAUUGACCAUUGGAGAUUGAUUCGAUUAUGGUUGGCAGAAGGAUUUGUAGAAAUGAAAGCAGGAAUGACGGUAGAAGAAGUUGCUGAGGGCUACCUCAAUGAGCUAAUCAAUAGAAGCUUAGUUCAAGUGGCAGAGAUGAGAUCAGAUGGAAGGAUCAAAACGUAUCGCAUCCAUGACCUCUGGCAUGAAAUUAUUGUUUCCAAGUCAGGAGAGCAAAACAUUGUGACAAUAGCUGGUGAACAAAGAAGAGUGUGACCUGAAAAGAUUCAAUGUCCAAGUUCCCCAUGCUUGCAUCAUCAAAUGAUGGUCUACAGUUGCUAACUGUGCUAAACUUGAAAGGUGCCUUGUUGGAGACAUUCCCAAAUGAAGUUUUGAAACUAAUUCAACUCAGGUAUGUAAGUUUGAGGGGAACCAAUGUAAAAGUAAUUCCAAAGUCGAUUGGAAAGCUCCAAAACCUGGAAACAUUGGACCUUAAUGCUGUGUUUGGUUAGAAGAUUUGGGGAGGGAUUUGGAAAGGGAAAGGGAAAAAGGUGUGUGAAACUAGGUGAAAUGUAAGUAUAUUUUAUUCACAUUUCACUUAACUUUUCCCUUUCCCUUUCCAAAUCCCUCUUCAAAUCCUCCAACCAAACACAGCGUAAAGAUACGUAUGUCACUGAGUUGCCUGAUGACAUCCUCAAACUCCAACAACUUCGCCAUAUCUUGUUGUAUCGCUACAAACAAGAUCUUGUUCCUUCCAUUUGUUUUCAACACCAUUGUGGAUUCAAAGCCCCGACGGAAAUAGGAAGUUUGUCAUCCUUACAGAAACUUUGUUCUAUUGAAACAAACCAUGAUAAUGGAACCAUUUUACUAGGAGAGGUAGGGAAGUUAACUCAACUGAGGAAAUUACGCAUUGAAAAACAGAGAAAUGAAGAUGGGAGGGUGUUAUGCUCGUCCCUUGAGAAGCUUAGUGACCUUCGCUCAUUAGUUGUUCGUGCAGCAGGAGAAGACGAGAUCAUUGAUCUAGAUUCUCUUUCUUCAACUCCUCAACUUCUUUGAACGCUCUACCUAGUAGGAAGUUUACAUAAGGUACCGCAUUGGAUACCUUCAUUGCACAAUUGGUAAGAGUAAUUUUAGCAUGGAGUAAGUUGAAGGAUGUUGAUCCACUAGAAUCCCUUCAAGGUUUGCCUGAUUUGGUUGAACUUCAACUUCGUCGGACAUACGAAGGGAAAGGAUUGUGUUUCAAGGCUAGUGGAUUUCAAAGACUUGUGAGAUUAGGACUUGCUGGAUUAAAAAGAUUGAGACGGGUGAAAGUGGAGGCUGGCUCGAUGCCUCAUCUUGAAGAGUUAUUUAUCUGUGAAUAUAAAUUGGUGGAGGAGUUACCCUAUGGCAUUGAACAUCUAACCAGCCUUAAAUCUCUUUAUUUUGUUGAUAUGUCUUAUGGAUUGAGUUUAAGCCUGGACAUAAACUUAGAAGGUGGGAAUUAUUGGAAAAUUGCACACAUUCUAGAAGUUUGGAUUGGGGACACAAUAUCUGGCUCUAUGCAAGGAACUUAUCUAUAGCGAGAGAGGAGAUAGCUCUAACCAUAUUGGAAACCACUAUAUUUAGAAUGCGUAUUAUGUAUUUAUUUAUUUUCACAUGCUCUUAGUACUUGACUUCUUGUAUUCAUAUUGAUAUCAAAUUUUUGUCUUUUUUUUCUUCUCCUUUUCAUUUUUUUCAGUAGAUCGGGAGCUUGUUAUUUGACCUCCUAAUUUUGAUCCUAGAGAGUUGGUAACUUCACAAGUUUUUAAAUUGGGAUUGUAAAUCUUAGGGUUAGUUUGGUGAGAUUUUUAUAUUAUUUUAUUUAUUUUGCUUUAGCUUUAAAUUUUUUGAAAAUUGAAAUAAAAAAACUGUUUGCUAAUUGUUCACUUUUAAAAAAACUGGCUACAGUUCUCAAAAAUUGAGGAAAUAAGAAAAAUGUGGUUUUACUUAUUUUCAAAACAAGUUUCAUUCCUUCUUACCUCCCUCACCCUUCCAUCCUCUGGCCAACGUCUCCGCUCCUACAACCACCUCCGACAACUCCCCCCAUUUGGUAACUUACUAUACUUGUUUUGAUUUUGGAAAAUGAUAUACAAGUUUUCUAAACUCGUUUUCUAUAUUUAGUACCGUAUAAAAUAGAUGAUUGGUUAAUGAUUAGAGGGAAUAUGAGAUGGCAGCUACCACAUUUUUUCUUCAAACCUUAUUCAAUCAAGCCAAUAAUUGUGAUUUUUUUUUUAGUUGAAUUUCUCUCAAGUUCAUGCCCAAGGGGCCCAUCACGAGUCCAUUUCAAUGAUUCAAACAAUUCUGUAAGACCAUCAAUGUAUAUUAUCCGUGAAAAAAAUUUAAUCAAUAAAAUAAUCGUAACAUUUUUAUUUUAUUA
Non-coding RNA from Camellia sinensis, 3252 nucleotides. Lineage: Eukaryota; Viridiplantae; Streptophyta; Magnoliopsida; Ericales; Theaceae. The record is from RefSeq and is a predicted model, not a curated record.